GUCGUACGCUUCUUUUUCCCCGGAGCUUGCUCCACCGGAAAAAGAAGAGUGGCGAACGGGUGAGUAACACGUGGGUAACCUGCCCAUCAGAAGGGGAUAACACUUGGAAACAGGUGCUAAUACCGUAUAACAAUCGAAACCGCAUGGUUUUGAUUUGAAAGGCGCUUUCGGGUGUCGCUGAUGGAUGGACCCGCGGUGCAUUAGCUAGUUGGUGAGGUAACGGCUCACCAAGGCCACGAUGCAUAGCCGACCUGAGAGGGUGAUCGGCCACAUUGGGACUGAGACACGGCCCAAACUCCUACGGGAGGCAGCAGUAGGGAAUCUUCGGCAAUGGACGAAAGUCUGACCGAGCAACGCCGCGUGAGUGAAGAAGGUUUUCGGAUCGUAAAACUCUGUUGUUAGAGAAGAACAAGGAUGAGAGUAACUGUUCAUCCCUUGACGGUAUCUAACCAGAAAGCCACGGCUAACUACGUGCCAGCAGCCGCGGUAAUACGUAGGUGGCAAGCGUUGUCCGGAUUUAUUGGGCGUAAAGCGAGCGCAGGCGGUUUCUUAAGUCUGAUGUGAAAGCCCCCGGCUCAACCGGGGAGGGUCAUUGGAAACUGGGAGACUUGAGUGCAGAAGAGGAGAGUGGAAUUCCAUGUGUAGCGGUGAAAUGCGUAGAUAUAUGGAGGAACACCAGUGGCGAAGGCGGCUCUCUGGUCUGUAACUGACGCUGAGGCUCGAAAGCGUGGGGAGCAAACAGGAUUAGAUACCCUGGUAGUCCACGCCGUAAACGAUGAGUGCUAAGUGUUGGAGGGUUUCCGCCCUUCAGUGCUGCAGCUAACGCAUUAAGCACUCCGCCUGGGGAGUACGACCGCAAGGUUGAAACUCAAAGGAAUUGACGGGGGCCCGCACAAGCGGUGGAGCAUGUGGUUUAAUUCGAAGCAACGCGAAGAACCUUACCAGGUCUUGACAUCCUUUGACCACUCUAGAGAUAGAGCUUCCCCUUCGGGGGCAAAGUGACAGGUGGUGCAUGGUUGUCGUCAGCUCGUGUCGUGAGAUGUUGGGUUAAGUCCCGCAACGAGCGCAACCCUUAUUGUUAGUUGCCAUCAUUUAGUUGGGCACUCUAGCAAGACUGCCGGUGACAAACCGGAGGAAGGUGGGGAUGACGUCAAAUCAUCAUGCCCCUUAUGACCUGGGCUACACACGUGCUACAAUGGGAAGUACAACGAGUCGCGAAGUCGCGAGGCUAAGCUAAUCUCUUAAAGCUUCUCUCAGUUCGGAUUGUAGGCUGCAACUCGCCUACAUGAAGCCGGAAUCGCUAGUAAUCGCGGAUCAGCACGCCGCGGUGAAUACGUUCCCGGGCCUUGUACACACCGCCCGUCACACCACGAGAGUUUGUAACACCCGAAGUCGGUGA
Molecule: ribosomal RNA, 1399 nt
Filed under: Enterococcus durans
Lineage: Bacteria; Bacillati; Bacillota; Bacilli; Lactobacillales; Enterococcaceae
Description: bacterial SSU rRNA
Rfam family: Bacterial small subunit ribosomal RNA
Source: RNAcentral